CUACGGGCGGCUGCAGUGGGGCAUAUUGCACAAUGGGCGCAAGCCUGAUGCAGCCAUGCCGCGUGUGUGAAGAAGGCCUUCGGGUUGUAAAGCACUUUCAGCGGGGAGGAAGGCGGUGAGGUUAAUAACCUCAUCGAUUGACGUUACCCGCAGAAGAAGCACCGGCUAACUCCGUGCCAGCAGCCGCGGUAAUACGGAGGGUGCAAGCGUUAAUCGGAAUUACUGGGCGUAAAGCGCACGCAGGCGGUCUGUCAAGUCGGAUGUGAAAUCCCCGGGCUCAACCUGGGAACUGCAUUCGAAACUGGCAGGCUAGAGUCUUGUAGAGGGGGGUAGAAUUCCAGGUGUAGCGGUGAAAUGCGUAGAGAUCUGGAGGAAUACCGGUGGCGAAGGCGGCCCCCUGGACAAAGACUGACGCUCAGGUGCGAAAGCGUGGGGAGCAAACAGGAUUAGAUACCCCUGUAGUC
RNAcentral lists this ribosomal RNA (464 nucleotides) under uncultured Klebsiella sp. Its description in RNAcentral is "bacterial SSU rRNA". It matches the Rfam family "Bacterial small subunit ribosomal RNA", at positions 339 to 795 of the family's 1533-position model. Lineage: Bacteria; Pseudomonadati; Pseudomonadota; Gammaproteobacteria; Enterobacterales; Enterobacteriaceae. The record is from RNAcentral.